RNAcentral lists this ribosomal RNA (406 nucleotides) under uncultured bacterium. Its description in RNAcentral is "partial 16S ribosomal RNA". It matches the Rfam family "Bacterial small subunit ribosomal RNA", at positions 30 to 526 of the family's 1533-position model. The record is from RNAcentral.
AUUGAACGCUGGCGGCAGGCUUAACACAUGCAAGUCGAGCGAGCGGCGGACGGGUGAGUAAUGUCUGGGAAACUGCCUGAUGGAGGGGGAUAACUACUGGAAACGGUAGCUAAUACCGCAUACCAUCGGAUGUGCCCAGAUGGGAUUAGCUAGUAGGUGGGGUAAAGGCUCACCUAGGCGACGAUCCCUAGCUGGUCUGAGAGGAUGACCAGCCACACUGGAACUGAGACACGGGCCAGACUCCUACGGGAGGCAGCAGUGGGGAAUAUUGCACAAUGGGCGCAAGCCUGAUGCAGCCAUGCCGCGUGUAUGAAGAAGGCCUUCGGGUUGUAAAGGACUUUUGUCAGGGAAGCGGUACCUGAAGAAUAAGCACCGGCUAACUACGUGCCGGCAGCCGCGGUAAUUC